GAUACCGCGCCUGCCGGGAGCCGCCUUCGCCCACGUUGAACUCGGCCUGUCCGCGCCUUGGACCCCGGCCCACACUGGGGUUUCUCUUCCCGAGCUGAGGGCUGGGUUUAUCUUCUGGCAGAUUCACGCGCACCACGGCAGAAGCUGUCCCCCCCAUCCCACCCAUGCAGACAAGAGUGACACCAUUAAGAUUGAGUAUCCCUAAUUUGAAAAUCAGAGAUCCAAAAUCUGAAACAUAUUGAGUGUUGACAUGAUGUUCCAAGGAAAUGCUCAUUGAAGCAUUUCAGAUUUCGGAUUACGGGUGCUGAAUUGGAUCACCAAGAGUACGGUGCCAAGGCCAUCAUGCCCUGUCCACUGCUCUGCAGGGAUGGCCCUGUGCAUGUGUAGUCCUUCAGCUCUUGGCCUUACUGCCCCAGUAAAAACAUUCACUAGUGACCAAUUCCAUCUGUGACCCGGUUGGACUGGAGACUCCUGGAAGGGACCACUUACAGGUGCCCUCUUCCCGUACAGCCAGAAAGAGAAGAAAGGCAGAGCCAAGUCUGGCCAGUGGGGUCUUCACAGACUUCUGGAGGAGGGGCCUGGCCAGUCAGAAGGCCCUCAUCUGGUGCUCACUGGCCAGAACCCUCUGUGGCUCAGGCGGCUACUUGUACCCUUUGAAGAAAGACUACACACACAUUUUUAUAAUCAGAAACUUAGUUUAUUUUGAAUAAACCACUCAACUUUGAGCAGA
This is a long non-coding RNA of Galeopterus variegatus (Sunda flying lemur), 730 nucleotides long. RefSeq lists it as uncharacterized. Lineage: Eukaryota; Metazoa; Chordata; Mammalia; Dermoptera; Cynocephalidae. The record is from RefSeq and is a predicted model, not a curated record. The transcript is spliced from 5 exons.